CCCCGCGGACAGUACAAGCAACCCUAAGUGCUGUACAUCAUUUGUCACUUCCUAAUUAUGAUUCUAUUGAUUAGAUUUGUGUAGAUAUGUAAUCCGUCUAUACUGUGCCCAACAUCGUUACAAAUAUGAAAGAAUAUUCUGGUAAAAUGACAAAGAAAUGUCCCCCUCACGGCCCGGCCAGCUCCUCCCCUUCACAACAGACCCAUCAGUUCCCAACCAUCCACCAUGAAGUCAACACCGUGGCUCAGCUGGGCUCUCUCGCUGUACAUAGCGACGGUCUUCCUGACAAACACCUCCAGCUCGUCCGCUAGGCCCGAGGAAAAGGAAAUACUGCCGGCAGUCUCCGAGGUCAUGGCCAGGAUUAACGAGCUCGCUAACAGCAAGAUACCUCACUGCACGGGUCAAGCCGCGAGAGACGACUACGUGAGCACGCAUAUCAAGUCCCUGGAGGAGAUCAUCGACUCUCAGCACAUUGUACUCGGCGACCUCCGCUACUUGGCUAACAAACUGACGGAAAAUAUCAAUGAAUAUUUGCCUGAUGCUCUCAGGACGAAUUCUUCGUCUUCCGCAGCUGGUUCUGGGUGAGGCUCACCCGUCUGUCUGUCUGUCUACCUGCAACGGUAAAAGGAAUACGGAAAGACCGACACCUUGGCACCCUUAUCAUCUCUCCUUACACCUGGACACCGCUCUGAUGAAACCUCCCGGACACCACUCUCAUGAAAUUUACUGAAAUCGCUCUCUUGAGACCUACUGGACAAUGCUCUCAUAAAACCUAUUGAUCACCGCUUUUGUGAGUCCUACUGUCCUCGUAUCUCAGCUCCUAUCCUGCCCUUAUAUUCCUCUUCCUAUCCUGUCCCUAUACCCUAUCCAUGUGCUGUAUAAUCAUACAUACUUAACGCUUUUUCCUGAUAAUUAUAGUAUUUGGGCAGGUUCAACUCCUUGACUAGUUGGUAGAUGGAGUGAACCUCAGGCUUGGUGUGUGCUCUGAGCUGUCAGCUGCCUUUAAACAGCUGAAA
Long non-coding RNA from Procambarus clarkii (red swamp crayfish), 1016 nucleotides. RefSeq lists it as uncharacterized. The record is from RefSeq and is a predicted model, not a curated record. Lineage: Eukaryota; Metazoa; Arthropoda; Malacostraca; Decapoda; Cambaridae.